GCCGGGAUGGUCAGAUCGGUUAAGGCGUCGCCCCGGAUAGGCGAAGGUUGCGAAUUCGAUUCCCGCUCCUGGCC
Ixodes scapularis (black-legged tick) is the source of this 74-nucleotide non-coding RNA. NCBI's taxonomy places the organism in Eukaryota, Metazoa, Arthropoda, Arachnida, Ixodida, Ixodidae. The record is from Rfam.